Molecule: transfer RNA, 73 nt
Filed under: Camelus bactrianus (Bactrian camel)
Lineage: Eukaryota; Metazoa; Chordata; Mammalia; Artiodactyla; Camelidae
Also listed under: 2 other names
Rfam family: tRNA
About the family: Transfer RNA (tRNA) molecules are approximately 80 nucleotides in length. Their secondary structure includes four short double-helical elements and three loops (D, anti-codon, and T loops).
Source: Rfam by way of RNAcentral
AGGGAUAUAGCUCAGUGGCAAGAGUGUGUGCUUAGCAUGCAACAGGUCCUAGGUUCAAUCCCCAGUUCCUCCA